Molecule: ribosomal RNA, 1187 nt
Filed under: Escherichia coli
Lineage: Bacteria; Pseudomonadati; Pseudomonadota; Gammaproteobacteria; Enterobacterales; Enterobacteriaceae
Description: partial 23S ribosomal RNA
Rfam family: Bacterial large subunit ribosomal RNA
Source: RNAcentral
UGCUAACGUCCGUCGUGAAGAGGGAAACAACCCAGACCGCCAGCUAAGGUCCCAAAGUCAUGGUUAAGUGGGAAACGAUGUGGGAAGGCCCAGACAGCCAGGAUGUUGGCUUAGAAGCAGCCAUCAUUUAAAGAAAGCGUAAUAGCUCACUGGUCGAGUCGGCCUGCGCGGAAGAUGUAACGGGGCUAAACCAUGCACCGAAGCUGCGGCAGCGACGCUGAUGCGUUGUUGGGUAGGGGAGCGUUCUGUAAGCCUGUGAAGGUGUGCUGUGAGGCAUGCUGGAGGUAUCAGAAGUGCGAAUGCUGACAUAAGUAACGAUAAAGCGGGUGAAAAGCCCGCUCGCCGGAAGACCAAGGGUUCCUGUCCAACGUUAAUCGGGGCAGGGUGAGUCGACCCCUAAGGCGAGGCCGAAAGGCGUAGUCGAUGGGAAACAGGUUAAUAUUCCUGUACUUGGUGUUACUGCGAAGGGGGGACGGAGAAGGCUAUGUUGGCCGGGCGACGGUUGUCCCGGUUUAAGCGUGUAGGCUGGUUUUCCAGGCAAAUCCGGAAAAUCAAGGCUGAGGCGUGAUGACGAGGCACUACGGUGCUGAAGCAACAAAUGCCCUGCUUCCAGGAAAAGCCUCUAAGCAUCAGGUAACAUCAAAUCGUACCCCAAACCGACACAGGUGGUCAGGUAGAGAAUACCAAGGCGCUUGAGAGAACUCGGGUGAAGGAACUAGGCAAAAUGGUGCCGUAACUUCGGGAGAAGGCACGCUGAUAUGUAGGUGAAGCGACUUGCUCGUGGAGCUGAAAUCAGUCGAAGAUACCAGCUGGCUGCAACUGUUUAUUAAAAACACAGCACUGUGCAAACACGAAAGUGGACGUAUACGGUGUGACGCCUGCCCGGUGCCGGAAGGUUAAUUGAUGGGGUCAGCGCAAGCGAAGCUCUUGAUCGAAGCCCCGGUAAACGGCGGCCGUAACUAUAACGGUCCUAAGGUAGCGAAAUUCCUUGUCGGGUAAGUUCCGACCUGCACGAAUGGCGUAAUGAUGGCCAGGCUGUCUCCACCCGAGACUCAGUGAAAUUGAACUCGCUGUGAAGAUGCAGUGUACCCGCGGCAAGACGGAAAGACCCCGUGAACCUUUACUAUAGCUUGACACUGAACAUUGAGCCUUGAUGUGUAGGAUAGGUGGGAGGCUUUGAAGUGUGG